This 493-nucleotide ribosomal RNA is filed under the name uncultured bacterium. RNAcentral describes it as "partial 16S ribosomal RNA". It matches the Rfam family "Bacterial small subunit ribosomal RNA", at positions 29 to 507 of the family's 1533-position model. The record is from RNAcentral.
ACGAACGCUGGCGGCGUGCUUAACACAUGCAAGUCGAACGGUGAAGCGCCUUCCUUUUUGGUGGGUGUGGAUGAGUGGCGAACGGGUGAGUAACACGUGAGUAACCUGCCCCCUUCUUCUGGAUAACCGCAUGAAAGUGUGGCUAAUACGGGAUAUUCUGGGUCUGUCGCAUGAUGGGUCUGGGAAAGAUAUUGUUUCGGUGGGGGAUGGGCUCGCGGCCUAUCAGCUUGUUGGUGGGGUGAUGGCCUACCAAGGCGGUGACGGGUAGCCGGCCUGAGAGGGUGGACGGUCACACUGGGACUGAGACACGGCCCAGACUACUACGGGAGGCAGCAGUGGGGAAUAUUGCACAAUGGGCGCAAGCCUGAUGCAGCGACGCCGCGUGAGGGAUGGAGGCCUUCGGGUUGUGAACCUCUUUCGCCAGUGAAGCAGGCCUGCCUCGUUUGUGGGUGGGUUGACGGUAGCUGGAUAAGAAGCGCCGGCUAACUACGUG